Non-coding RNA from Cicer arietinum (chickpea), 666 nucleotides. NCBI's taxonomy places the organism in Eukaryota, Viridiplantae, Streptophyta, Magnoliopsida, Fabales, Fabaceae. The record is from RefSeq and is a predicted model, not a curated record.
CUGAUUUUUUUAUGAAUAAAUAAAUUCAUCCUUCAAAUUGUCAAAUAAUUCCUUAAUUCUGCUAAUUUAUAAAUAUGGCUUGAAAUUGUAGCGCAUUUGUCAAGGAUAUGUAAAAUGAAUAUAGUCUUUUAGGCAUCAUUUCACGUCUAAACAUAUCACCAGAAACUUAUGGCAACUUGUGCUGUCUGCAUGUUAAAUAUAACUCGAGCAGCUAUAUGGGAAAUGAGAGGCAUUGAAGUUUUUUUUGCAUGGGAUCUAUGACAGACCACCUUAAGCUUGUUCAUUGUAUAAUACUAUAACUCACUUCUUUGUAGCGGUGAGAAUAAAUUGGACCGAAUUGCCAAUACUACCUUGCUUCAAAUGCAACUUUCCUUGAAACUCUUAAGUUAAGUCUCGAAUUCAAAUGUUGUGGUGGAAAAAACGUGGCUGAAUGAAAAUACUUUUAUUAAAGACAGCAACCAAAUUUUCAGUGGAGAUUAGUCAUAGAAAAAGUUGAGGAAUACUUCACACCAACACCAACAUAGUUAUACUAAGAUAAGAACUUUAUCUAUAUUUUAUGUACAAUGGUCAAUGUGUGGGACAAUUAUACAGGCAUUUAUUAGGUUGAUAGCCAGAAUGUUUUAAACAAAAUUGAAGAUAUAUCGAUUAUCGAGAUAAUUUGAGAUA